This 253-nucleotide ribosomal RNA is filed under the name uncultured prokaryote. RNAcentral's name for it is "partial 16S ribosomal RNA". It matches the Rfam family "Bacterial small subunit ribosomal RNA", at positions 525 to 777 of the family's 1533-position model. The record is from RNAcentral.
ACGGGGGGAGCAAGCGUUGUUCGGAAUCACUGGGCGUAAAGGGCGUCUAGGCGGUCAGGUAAGUGAGAUGUGAAAUGCCCCGGCUCACCCGGGGACCGGCAUCUCAUACUGCUUGGCUUGAGUACGGGAGAGGAUGUGGGAAUUCCCGGUGUAGCAGUGAAAUGCGUAGAGAUCGGGAGGAACACCAGUGGCGAAGGCGGCUACCUGGACCAGCACUGACACUGAGGCACGAAAGCGUGGGGAGCAAACAGGA